AUCAAUGGGGCAGGCCAGCCCGGCCAGGUCAGGCCCCAGCGGCCUGCCUCCGCCCCUCGCACCCGAGUCUCCCGGGUAACCAGGCUCCGCUUCUCCGCAGGCCCGUAAAGGCCCCUCGACUUCCUGUGUUCCUCACCCUGGAUCGGAGCUCCGAUCUCUGCCAACUUGGCCUGAAGCUCCUGGGCAGCCCAGGCGCCAUAGUGGCCUGGAGGUGGCGGCGGCGGCAGCUGCAAUUCUGCUUUGGGAGGCUCGGGAUGCUCCGUCGCCAUCUUAGCCGCAGGAAGGCGCGCGACCAACCCGGAAGCUGGGGCCAGCCUCAGGGCCCACUUGCCGGAACUUCCGGUGGCGCCGUAUGCCACGUCCUCUCUGGUUGGGAGGCGACGCGCACUCAGGCACACCCGCUGCCGUGCGCUGGGCGACGGGAUUCGCCGCAGACGCACCUUUCUCUAGUGGCCCCUCGGCGGUCUGGUCGCGAGGCCUCCUGGGAGUUGUAGUGCGCAGGUCUCGGUCUCUGCGGGCCCUGCGCGCCGCUACGGCCCCGAAGGCCGGCGGCGGGCCGGAGGGCGGGGCUGCGAGGAGGGCUGGCACUUCCCCGAGGGAGUGUUUUCUGCGCCUCACCUGCGGGAGCGAAGGCUCUCAAGCUUUCCGGCCCGGCCCUCCGGUCAGAUCCUCGAACGCUUACGCUCCCAGGGAGUCCCGAGAGACUCAUUUCCCCGGCGGCCCCGCGUUGCGGGCGCCAAGCGGGAGGCUGGAGCCGAUGCCUGGGAUAAAACAGUGUCUGAUUGUCUGCCCGCCCACCCCCGGCCCAGGCCCGGAUGAAUGGGCUGAAAGGGGAUCCAAGCCGGGAGAGCAGCAGGCCUGCCCGGGCUGAGCUCCAGCUGCCGACCUGGGGGAAGGGCGACUCUAAAGCCCCCUUUUCCACCUUCCAGGCCGGCUCAAAUGUCGUCUUCUCCACUAAGCCUCCUCCCGCUUUCCUUUCCUUUCUUAGAGCUCCCAUAAUACGUUCGAAUCUCCACCGUUUGUUAAGUCUUUCUUGCCCUUUCUUCCUACCUCUAUCCCAAAAAUGUGAGCAGGGACUUGAUCAUUUUCAGUCUCGCAUCGCCUGGCGUUCAAGAGGCGCCCAAUAAAUGAUUACUGGAAAAAAAGGAACAAUGUUUCUGGUGAAAGCAUUUGUGUCUUUUUUAGUCUCAAAAAUAAACUCAGGCCCUUUUCCCUCAGCCGCACCUGCACUGGGGGCCCCACCUUGCCUCCCACUCCCCACCCCAACUCCCCUUGGCCUUUGGAGACAGAGGCAGAGACUGGCAGGGAUUCUUGCCUGCCUAGCAUCCACCUCUCCCUGUCCCACACCAUCAAUUCAGUUUCUCUCCCCACCUCUGCCACUAGCUCUGCCCUCUCACCAACAGCUAGCCUGUGUGUGUUUUUUAUGUGUGUUGAGAAAGGGAGUGGGGAGACUCAAGUGAAAUGGUCUCAUUUUCCCCCUACACAUCCCCUUCAGAUCUUUUCUCCAGCUCCAUUUUGCCAACUGCCCCCAGUGGAGAAGAAGCUGGGAACAGGGAAAAAAAAAGAAUGGGGCACCAGGU
RNAcentral lists this long non-coding RNA (1580 nucleotides) under Homo sapiens (human). RNAcentral's name for it is "non-protein coding lnc-GAL3ST3-1:1". The record is from RNAcentral. Lineage: Eukaryota; Metazoa; Chordata; Mammalia; Primates; Hominidae.